RNAcentral lists this unclassified non-coding RNA (1243 nucleotides) under Hevea brasiliensis (rubber tree). The record is from RNAcentral. Lineage: Eukaryota; Viridiplantae; Streptophyta; Magnoliopsida; Malpighiales; Euphorbiaceae.
AGAAAAUUUUGCUGUGAUAAUUUAUAAAUUAGUAAUAAAUAAAAUUUUAUUACAAAGCAAAUAAUGAAAAAGUUGUACCCAUUAUCAUCAAUCCUCUACGCACGCAGCGUGUCUCUGCCAGCUGGACUGCACACUACCUCAUCUCCACCUCUCUUUGGGUUUCUCUCUCUCUCUGGAAGGACUAGAGCAGCAAACGCCAUGUCGUCGGACGAUGAGGGAGGAGAGGAGUACCUUUUCAAGAUCGUGAUUAUUGGGGACUCUGCUGUGGGCAAAUCCAAUCUCCUGUCUCGGUAUGCGCGGAACGAGUUCAAUUUGCACUCCAAGGCCACCAUAGGUGUGGAAUUCCAGACCCAGAGCAUGGAAAUAGACGGCAAGGAAGUCAAGGCUCAGAUUUGGGACACCGCCGGUCAAGAGAGGUUCCGUGCUGUAACUUCUGCUUACUAUAGAGGUGCUGUUGGUGCUCUCAUUGUGUACGAUAUUAGCCGCCGCACUACUUUUGAUAGCGUUGGUCGUUGGCUUGAGGAGCUCAAGACUCAUUCUGAUACAACUGUGGCAAGGAUGCUGGUUGGGAACAAAUGUGAUUUAGAGAAUAUCAGGGAUGUUAGUGUUGAGGAAGGCAAAAGCCUUGCAGAAGCAGAAGGAUUAUUUUUCAUGGAGACAUCCGCCCUUGAUUCAACAAAUGUUAAAAAGGCUUUUGAGAUUGUUAUCCGAGAGAUUUAUAAUAAUGUGAGCCGGAAAGUCUUGAACUCGGAUACAUACAAGGCUGAAUUGUCAUUGAACAGGGUAACUCUUGUUAAUAAUGGGACUGACGGAUCAAAACAAUCUCAGAACUAUUUUUCAUCUUGUUGCUCCAGGUGACCUCCAUUCUUCUCAUCUCAAAAUGGCAUACAAGUUCAGGGCUUUUUCGUGGUUGGUUUGUUGAUUUAAUUUGGUUGGUUGCUUUGUUCCUUGAUGAGUAUGUCUUCAUGGUUCUUUAAUUGAAAAAUAAGUUUAUAUUAUAGAGAUAAAUUAUUUAGUGCAAUACGAAAAGGGGCAGACAUGAUUCUGAACAGAAUAGAGAUGUAUCUGUUAAUUUAUUGUAACUUGUUUUUAUGGUGGACCGUUGAUAAAUGUCUUCAAAAUUUUAUUGUUGUUUCUUUUGAUCCUCUCCACCUCUUAGACAGGGCAUACUUUUGUUCUAAGUUUUCUGAUGUUCUAAAUAGUAAGGAAAGAUUUUCUUGAUAUUGCAGUUGUGCAUACAUUU